Molecule: ribosomal RNA, 470 nt
Filed under: Microbacteriaceae bacterium 'ARUP UnID 384'
Lineage: Bacteria; Bacillati; Actinomycetota; Actinomycetes; Micrococcales; Microbacteriaceae
Description: bacterial SSU rRNA
Rfam family: Bacterial small subunit ribosomal RNA
Source: RNAcentral
GGAUGAACGCUGGCGGCGUGCUUAACACAUGCAAGUCGAACGGUGAACGAGGGAGCUUGCUCCCUCCGGAUCAGUGGCGAACGGGUGAGUAACACGUGAGUAACCUGCCCUUGACUCUGGGAUAAGCGUUGGAAACGACGUCUAAUACCGGAUACGACCCUCGGAGGCAUCUUCAGGGGGUGGAAAGAACUUCGGUCAAGGAUGGACUCGCGGCCUAUCAGCUUGUUGGUGAGGUAACGGCUCACCAAGGCGACGACGGGUAGCCGGCCUGAGAGGGUGACCGGCCACACUGGGACUGAGACACGGCCCAGACUCCUACGGGAGGCAGCAGUGGGGAAUAUUGCACAAUGGGCGAAAGCCUGAUGCAGCAACGCCGCGUGAGGGACGACGGCCUUCGGGUUGUAAACCUCUUUUAGUAGGGAAGAAGCGAAAGUGACGGUACCUGCAGAAAAAGCACCGGCUAACUACGU